AGGACGAACGCUGGCGGCGUGCUUAACACAUGCAAGUCAAGGGGACCCGCAAGGGUAACCGGCGAACGGGUGCGUAACACGUGAGCAACCUACCGAGAUCUGGGGGAUAGCCGGCCCAACGGCCGGGUAAUACCGCAUACGCUCUUUCCACGGCAUUGUGGAUUGAGGAAACCUCCGGGGGAUUUCGAGGGGCUCGCGGCCUAUCAGCUAGUUGGCGAGGUCACGGCUCACCAAGGCGACGACGGGUAGCU
RNAcentral lists this ribosomal RNA (251 nucleotides) under uncultured soil bacterium. RNAcentral describes it as "partial 16S ribosomal RNA". It matches the Rfam family "Bacterial small subunit ribosomal RNA", at positions 26 to 288 of the family's 1533-position model. The record is from RNAcentral.